CAAUAGCGUAUACUAAUGUUGUUGCAGUUAAAAAGCUCGUAGUUGAACUUCUGGUAGGAGUGUCCCGGCCUUUUUGUUUUUACAAAUUGUAUGCUGUGUGACAUCUCUGGCCAUCCUUCUUCUUUGUUUAAAGAAGAUCUUUCACGGUAAAAAAAUUAGGGUGUUCAAAGCAAAAGUUUCUUUGGAAUAUAUUAGUAUGGGAUGAUAAGAUAGGCUCUAGAUGCUAUUUUGUUGGUUUGCACAUUUAGAGAAUGAUUAACAGGGACAGUUGGGGGUAUUCGUAUUUACAUGUCAGAGGUGAAAUUCUUGGAUUUUGGAAAGACGAACUACUGCGAAAGCAUUUACCAAGGAUGUUUUCAUUAA
RNAcentral lists this ribosomal RNA (363 nucleotides) under uncultured eukaryote. Its description in RNAcentral is "partial 18S ribosomal RNA". It matches the Rfam family "Eukaryotic small subunit ribosomal RNA", at positions 592 to 976 of the family's 1831-position model. The record is from RNAcentral.